GGAAGUAAAAGUCGUAACAAGAUUUCCGUAGGUGAACCUGCGGAAGGAUCAUUAGUGAAAUUGAGGUUCCGGUUUCGAUCGGCCUCAUCCUAUUUCAAACACUUGUGCACUGUCAUUUUUGACGCCAAUUUGUAUUGUAUGUCGGUUGACCAUAAAUAAAGUUUAAACAACUUUCAGCAACGGAUCUCUUGGCUCUC
This 197-nucleotide unclassified non-coding RNA is filed under the name plant metagenome. Its description in RNAcentral is "partial contains small subunit ribosomal RNA, internal transcribed spacer 1, and 5.8S ribosomal RNA". The stretch from base 1 to 54 matches the Rfam family "Eukaryotic small subunit ribosomal RNA", at positions 1778 to 1831 of the family's 1831-position model. The record is from RNAcentral.